AUUGAACGCUGGCGGCAUGCCUAACACAUGCAAGUCGAACGAGUGGCGGACGGGUGAGUAAUGUAUGGGAAACUGCCUGAUGGAGGGGGAUAACUACUGGAAACGGUGGCUAAUACCGCAUACCAUCGGAUGUGCCCAGAUGGGAUUAGCUAGUAGGGGGGGUAAAGGCUCACCUAGGCGACGAUCCCUAGCUGGUCUGAGAGGAUGACCAGCCACACUGGGACUGAGACACGGUCCAGACUCCGACGGGAGGCAGCAGUGGGGAAUAUUGGACAAUGGGCGCAAGCCUGAUGCAGCCAUGCCGCGUGUAUGAAGAAGGCCUUCGGGUUGUAAAGUACUUUCAGCGGAGAGGCGUUACCCGCAGAAGAAGCACCGGCUAACUACGUGCCAGCAGCCGCGGUAAUUC
This 406-nucleotide ribosomal RNA is filed under the name uncultured bacterium. RNAcentral's name for it is "partial 16S ribosomal RNA". It matches the Rfam family "Bacterial small subunit ribosomal RNA", at positions 30 to 526 of the family's 1533-position model. The record is from RNAcentral.